AGAGUUUGAUCAUGGCUCAGAACGAACGCUGGCGGCAGGCUUAACACAUGCAAGUCGAACGCACCUUUCGGGGUGAGUGGCAGACGGGUGAGUAACGCGUGGGAACGUGCCCUUCAGUUCGGGAUAACCCAGGGAAACUUGGGCUAAUACCGGAUACGUGCGAGAGCAGAAAGAUUUAUCGCUGAAGGAUCGGCCCGCGUCUGAUUAGCUAGUUGGUGGGGUAAUGGCCCACCAAGGCGACGAUCAGUAGCUGGUCUGAGAGGAUGAUCAGCCACAUUGGGACUGAGACACGGCCCAAACUCCUACGGGAGGCAGCAGUGGGGAAUAUUGGACAAUGGGCGCAAGCCUGAUCCAGCCAUGCCGCGUGAGUGAUGAAGGCCUUAGGGUUGUAAAGCUCUUUCGUCCGGGACGAUAAUGACGAGUACCGGAAGAAGAAGCCCCGGCUAACUUCGUGCUAGCAGCCGCGGUAAUUC
RNAcentral lists this ribosomal RNA (473 nucleotides) under uncultured bacterium. RNAcentral describes it as "bacterial SSU rRNA". It matches the Rfam family "Bacterial small subunit ribosomal RNA", at positions 8 to 526 of the family's 1533-position model. The record is from RNAcentral.